GUGGCUCACACUCCUUCAGUAGUUUGGUCACACACCCGAGUGGGUGGCCACAGUCCCUGUUUGGUCACACACCCCUGGCUGGUCACAUACCCUGUGGUGGUCACACUCCCCAUGGUUUGUCAUACUGUCCAUAAUUGGUCAACUCCUUGUUGUGUUCACACCCUCCUUUGUUGGUCAUGCUCAUCAUGGUUGGUCACACUCCCCAUGGUGGUCACACGCCCUGUUGUUGGUCACACCACCAUGGUUGGUCACACUCCCCAUGGUGGUCUCAUGACCUGUGGUUGGUCACACUCACCAUGGUUUGUCACACUCCCUGUGGUUUGUCACAUUCCAAGUAGUGGCUCCCACUCUCAGUGUUUGGUCACAGUUCCCUUGGUUGGCCACAGUCCCUGUUUGGUCACACCCCCCUUGUUGUCACACACCCUGUAGUUGGUCACACUCACCAGGUUGGACAUACUCCCCAUGGUGGUCACAUGCUUUGUGGUGGGUCACACUCACCAUGGGUGGUCACACUCCCUCUUGUUGGUCAUACUCACCAUGGUUGGUCAAACUCCCUGUGGUUGUCAAACUCCUAGUAGUGGCUCACACUCUCAGUGUUUGGUCACACACCCCAUGGGUGUUCACACGCCUGUGGUUGGUCACACACACCAUGGUUUGUCUCACUCCCAGUAGAUCUCACACUGUCAGUGUUUGGUCAUACUCCCCAGGGUUGGCCAGAGUCCCUGUUUGGUCACACCCCCCUGGUUGUCACACAUCCUGUGGUUGGUCACACUCGCCAUGGGUGGUCACACUCCCUGUGGUUGGUCAAACUCCCAGUAGUGGCUCACACUCCCAGUGUUUGGUCACAUACCCCAUAGGUGGCCACAGUCCCUGUUUGGUCAAACCCCCCUGGUUGGUCACACACCCUGAUGUGGUCACACUCCCCAUGGGUUGUAAUACUGUCCAUAAUUGGUCAACUCCUUGUCAUGUUCACACCCUCAUUUGUUGGUCAGGGUUAGUCACACUCCCCAUGGUGGUCUC
RNAcentral lists this long non-coding RNA (1020 nucleotides) under Oryctolagus cuniculus (rabbit). RNAcentral's name for it is "lncRNA (ENSOCUG00000036883.1)". Lineage: Eukaryota; Metazoa; Chordata; Mammalia; Lagomorpha; Leporidae. The record is from RNAcentral.